GGCAAUUACAAUUACACAGUAAAAUACCUAAGGUUAAUGAAUAACCUCUAAAGGAAGUUACUUCACAUAAUGACAGCAAUUUCUCUGAACUAAAUGUUAAUAAUAAGGCCUGUAGUACUAUGAGAAGGAAAUGGUGGCAACUGGCAAAUGGAACCGUGUGUUGCUUGGUAACAAAACCUGAGAUAUUUUCCAAAAAGAAGCUGGGAGAAAGAGCUCCCUUUCCUUUGGCAUUGCUAAGCCUACCCCCAGGACUGCCCCAUAACUCUGGAGCUGUUCAUGGCCAUCUCCAUUCAAAAUGGCACCCAAGGCCAGGCAUGGUGGCAUACACCAAUAAUCCCAGCACUCUGGAGGCUGAGGCAGGAGGAUCACCAUGAGUUUGAGGCCAGCCUGGGCUACAUAGUGAGACUGUCUCAAACCCCUCCCCCUGAAAAUGCCAUCUGAAGUAACAGACGUAAGUGAUGACAACAGAAAAAGCCGGGCUUAAGGAAGAGAAAUGGACAAACAGUCCUGAAACUCCCAACCCUGGAGCCAAGUGACUCUGAGGCCCACCUCAUCUGUUCCUUCCUUACUACAGGGGCCACCAAUGUUAACUUUUCAUCCCUGUGACAACAUAUCUGGCAUAAGCAACUUAGAGAAGAUUUCUUUGGCCUCACCAUUUCAGGGGAUUCUGUCCACGGUUGGCCAGCUCCUUUGCUCUAUGCCUUGUGUCAAUGCAGAAACAUGAUGGCAGAAGAAUGUGGCAGAGGAAUGCUACUCACUUCAAGGCAGCUGGGAAGCAGAGAGAAAGAGCCCAAGAGGAGGGGGCUGGGGCCCAGAUAGAGUCCCCAAGGCCACGCCCCCACCAUCUACUCCCUUCAACUAGGCCCCAAGUCUUGUUUCCAUUACAUACCAACAAUGCCAUCAAAAUCAUGAUCUCAUUAAUGGAUUAAUCCACUUGAUGAAGUUAGAGCUAAUUUUAUAAAUAUAUAACAAAAGACAACAAAAUUUAAUGGUGACUGCUGGGUAUUAGAAUUUUACAUGCUUUUUAAAAAUUAUUUUCUGUAUUUUAUAAUUUUUGCUUUUAUAAUGGGAGAAAUGACACUAAAAAUCAAGCCUUUGAUUCAGUCUUCUUAUAGGCUUAUGUACAAAUUAAAACAUAAUCACUCUCCCAUCCAUUUUGAAUUUUACCUUUCACCUUUCUUUCUAAAUCAGUUUCCACAGUAAACACAGUGACAUAUCAUUCCUUUUUCAAAUAUUGCAACUGGAAAAUAUGACAUUUUGAAGGACAGAACAUAACCAGUACCUCCAUCCAACAUAUUAUUUGGCUUUUUGGUUAGUGUAGCAAUACACAAAAGAAAAAUUUUGAUCCAAAUGAAGUCAGUCAUUAUUUCUGUCCAUAGUAACACAUCUAACACAUAUAAAAUAAAAAAUAUAUUUAAAUUUUUUCUCUUUCAUAACUACUUCAAAAAGCCUCAAGUCUGUUUUGUAUCUCCUUACAAACAUCAUUGUGUAGAGAUGGGGUUCAUUUUAACACCAAAGGCUACAGCUUUACACCAAUAACCUGACUCUAUUACUGAAUUCCCGAUGAAAUGCACGAAUAGCUUUGUUUCUUUAUUGACUUUUUUUUCUCAUGAAAAUGAUUCUAAAACUUUUGGAAGGGGUUUCUAAAAUAAAUGUCAUGUGAAAAGUGAGCCUUUGAUUAGACUUCAGACCACAGAAGAAUCCCGUAGACUUUUUUCUAAUAUAAUUUAACUCCAUUCAAAAACUUAAUAGCUGGAGUAUGGUUUAAUAGGUAGAUUUAGAGGCUUCUGUGCCUCCAGUAAUCCUCCUUUCAUCAAAACAAUGGCUAUAAUUAAUAUUUAUGAUUUUGCUUUUCACCUCAAAGAACUUUACAAAUUGUUACCACAGGACUCAUGACACUAAUGAAGUACUCACUGCUCAGCCCAGAAGAGAAAUUUACAAUCAUCUUGAGUUUACCCCAUAAUGAUGUGGCUACAAAGAAGGGUUGGUGGGGUGGUGAUGUGGCCAACUCAGCUCCCCAUUACCAAAAGAACAAAUCAGGAAAGGGAAAUAAGUCCAUUUAUACGGCUUCCUCAAAGCCUAUAUGGUAGGAUCACAUACAGUAUUUGGUUUUUGUUUAUUUGUUUGUUUUGGUGUAGGACCCCCUUAGUAUCUCCCACUAUGAUGUACUACAGCGGUGGACAAAUUAUAGCCCAAGGGCCUCUGGCCUCAACCUGAUUCUAUAUACUCUCCCUCCUCCUUCAUCUCCCACCACCUCAGAAACAGUGAAUGACUUUUACAUUUUAGAGGGUUGUUUAGAAUAAAAAAGAAGAAUAUGUGUUAGAGACUGUAUUUGGCCUGCGAAGCUCAAAGUAUUUAUUAUUCAGUUCUUUCCAGAAUAAAUUUACUUUUCCUUAGAAUCUAAGGCAAUGAGAGACUGUAGAGAGUUUGCAAUGCAAAUUAUAAACACUAAGAUUCAUGAGUAUCAUUCAGAAACUUGGGCAGACUGUAAAGAGAAGCACAUUUCAGGUAUCAGUGAACUUUCUCAGAGUCAGCACAUUGUUCUGGUCUGACAGGAUAUAGACUUAACAAAGACCAAGUUCAUGUACCAACAUGCAUAUAGGAAACGCUCUACACGCCCUGGAUAUCCACCAGCAACUAGAGCUAACAUCCAUUAUGCUUGUUGCAUGGAGGCACCACUCAAUAACAGUGCUGAAAGGGAGG
Long non-coding RNA from Heterocephalus glaber (naked mole-rat), 2703 nucleotides. The record is from Ensembl. NCBI's taxonomy places the organism in Eukaryota, Metazoa, Chordata, Mammalia, Rodentia, Bathyergidae.